This 264-nucleotide signal recognition particle RNA is filed under the name Clostridia bacterium. RNAcentral's name for it is "signal recognition particle sRNA large type". It matches the Rfam family "Bacterial large signal recognition particle RNA". From Rfam's summary of the family: The signal recognition particle (SRP) is a universally conserved ribonucleoprotein involved in the co-translational targeting of proteins to membranes. Archaeal SRP consists of a 7S RNA and homologues of the eukaryotic SRP19 and SRP54 proteins. In most bacteria, the SRP consists of a 4.5S RNA and the Ffh protein (a homologue of the eukaryotic SRP54 protein). Lineage: Bacteria; Bacillati; Bacillota; Clostridia. The record is from RNAcentral.
CCGUGCUAGACGGGGAGUUAGCGGUGCCCUAUACCUGCAAACCGCUAUAGCAGGGUACAAUUCCCGUCAGAGGCCAUUAUUGGUUGAAGCAGCCAGCGUCAAGUAGUGUUGACGGUCGAGUCUUACGCAAUGAGAAUUUGUGAACCCCGUCAGGUCCGGAAGGAAGCAGCGGUAAGCGAAACCUUUCAUGUGCCGUAAGUAUACCUGACCUGAGCUAACUGAUACUACAGCGUUUGGUCAAUUUGUUCGAAGACGGGUGCACGG